Molecule: long non-coding RNA, 767 nt
Organism: Prionailurus viverrinus (fishing cat)
Lineage: Eukaryota; Metazoa; Chordata; Mammalia; Carnivora; Felidae
Exons: 3
Source: RefSeq, a predicted model, not a curated record
UCCUCAGUCAUCAGGAAGUCAAAAGUAGACAGUGUUGGUAGAAUGUGUAUGCAUCGAGAAGUGAAAUAAAAAAGAGUGAGCUAGUUUUCUGCAGCCUUUCCACUUCUGGUAAGAAAAUCUAGCUGGUCUGAUGUCAUACCUUUCUGUGAUACUUUGGCAUUUUUGAAAUGAAAGGCAACUGGCUUAAACCCAGCUAUAGGAAAAUCAAUGCGCUAGCACGAACCUGGUUCGUCUGAAGGGAAGAGCGCUUAUUAAAUGAAAGCUGUAUAUAAAACUGCAAAGAAACAUAACGUCACAUGUUGGAAAGGAAGUUAAAGAAGAAUUAAAACAAGCUGUGAUGAUCUUAACAAAGACACACAAAACCUGUUACGAGGAAGAGUUGUUUGGUCAAAUUUCCUGUUUUUCCCUAAGCCCUGGUUUGUUUUAAACACGUCUUCAGCGCACAGUUUACUGCUGCUGAUUAACAUUCCUACGUGUCCAGUCCAGAACUGCUCUCCAGGACUUUUUACUUAAAGAUACUCUAAACAAUGUGGAUGUUCUCUUUCUUCUUCAGAUUGAGGAGUUGACCAUAAUUAGAAGAUGAUAAACCGUGGCCUGAAAUAGCUGAAAAUUACUAUUAGAAAGUAGAAAGUUAUUCAAGUAUGGGUUAAUAAAAGAGUCACACAAUGAAAGUUUCACAAAGUGUCUCUUUAACCCUAAGCAAUCUUACCAUAGGAUUCGAGAAAUCAGCUUGGACUGCUACAAAGCACAUCAAAUCAAAGCCACCC